CCUACGGGAGGCAGCAGUAGGGAAUUUUCGUCAAUGGGCGCAAGCCUGAACGAGCGAUGCCGCGUGAGUGAAGAAGGCCUUCGGGUCGUAAAGCUCUGUUGCGGGGGAAAAAAGGCAGCAUCAGGAAAUGGGUGCUGACUGAUGGUGCCCCGCCAGAAAGUCACGGCUAACUACGUGCCAGCAGCCGCGGUAAUACGUAGGUGGCGAGCGUUAUCCGGAAGGAUUGGGCGUAAAGGGUGCGCAGGCGGUCCUGCAAGUCUGGAGUGAAACGCAUGAGCUCAACUCAUGCAUGGCUUUGGAAACUGGAGGACUGGAGAGCAGGAGAGGGCGGUGGAACGCCAUGUGUAGCGGUAAAAUGCGUAGAUAUAUGGAAGAACACCAGUGGCGAAGGCGGCCGCCUGGCCUGUUGCUGACGCUGAGGCACGAAAGCGUGGGGAGCAAAUAGGAUUAGAUACCCUUGUAGUC
Molecule: ribosomal RNA, 465 nt
Filed under: uncultured bacterium
Lineage: Bacteria
Description: partial 16S ribosomal RNA
Rfam family: Bacterial small subunit ribosomal RNA
Source: RNAcentral